This 253-nucleotide ribosomal RNA is filed under the name uncultured bacterium. RNAcentral describes it as "partial 16S ribosomal RNA". It matches the Rfam family "Bacterial small subunit ribosomal RNA", at positions 524 to 776 of the family's 1533-position model. The record is from RNAcentral.
UACGUAGGGUGCAAGCAUUGUCCGGAUUUAUUGGGCGUAAAGAGCUCGUAGGCGGUUUGUCGCGUCGGAUGUGAAACCUCGGGGCUCAACCCCGAGCCUGCAUUCGAUACGGACAGACUAGAGUGUUGCAGGGGAGACUGGAAUUCCUGGUGUAGCGGUGAAAUGCGCAGAUAUCAGGAGGAACACCGGUGGCGAAGGCGGGUCUCUGGGCAACAACUGACGCUGAGGAGCGAAAGCGUGGGGAGCAAACAGG